This 207-nucleotide ribosomal RNA is filed under the name uncultured bacterium. RNAcentral describes it as "partial 16S ribosomal RNA". It matches the Rfam family "Bacterial small subunit ribosomal RNA", at positions 1294 to 1500 of the family's 1533-position model. The record is from RNAcentral.
CGGAUUGCAGUCUGAAACUCGAGUGCAUGAAGCUGGAAUCGCUAGUAAUCGCAAAUCAGAAUGUUGCGGUGAAUACGUUCCCGGGUCUUGUACACACCGCCCGUCACACCAUGGGAGUUGGAAAUGCCCGAAGUCAGUGACCCAACCUAAGGGAGGGAGCUGCCGAAGGCAGGUUCGAUGACUGGGGUGAAGUCGUAACAAGGUAGC